UCCAGCUCGUCGCUGGCAGUCUCCGCAGAGUGCUCAGCAUCCUUUCGGACCUGGUCGCAACAGCGGACGAUGAUUGCGCUCGUUUUGGCACUUAAGCCAACACCUCACGGCACGAGCUGACGACAGCCAUGCAGCACCUGUGCAAGCUCUCGACUGGUUACGAGUCGUCCCCCUUUCAGGUUCCUACUUCUUGCAUGUCAAGCCUAGGUAAGGUUCUUCGCGUAGCAUCGAAUUGAACCACAUGUUCCACCGCUUGUGCUGGCCCCCGUCAAUUCCUUUGAGUUUCAGCCUUGCGGCCGUACUCCCCAGGUGGGUGACUUAUCGCUUUCGCUAAGCCGCGUACUGUAUAUCGCACACAGCGAGUAAUCAACGUUUACAGUGUGGACUAC
RNAcentral lists this unclassified non-coding RNA (389 nucleotides) under uncultured bacterium. Its description in RNAcentral is "contains 16S-23S intergenic spacer region". The record is from RNAcentral.